UACGUAGGUGGCAAGCGUUAUCCGGAAUUACUGGGCGUAAAGCGCACGCAGGCGGCCUUUUAAGUUUGACGUGAAAGCUCCCGGCUUAACUGGGAGAGGUCGUUGAAGACUGGAAGACUUGAGGCAAUGAGAGGGGUGUAGAAUUCCCGGUGUAGUGGUGGAAUGCGUAGAUAUCGGGGGGAAUACCAGUGGCGAAGGCGACUUCCUGGCCUGUUCUUGACGCUGAGGCGCGAAAGCUAGGGUAGCAAACGGG
Molecule: ribosomal RNA, 253 nt
Filed under: uncultured bacterium
Lineage: Bacteria
Description: partial 16S ribosomal RNA
Rfam family: Bacterial small subunit ribosomal RNA
Source: RNAcentral